UACGGAAGGCAGCAGUGGGGAAUAUUGCACAAUGGGCGCAAGCCUGAUGCAGCCAUGCCGCGUGUAUGAAGAAGGCCUUCGGGUUGUAAAGUACUUUCAGUCGUGAGGAAGGUGUUAAGGUUAAUAACCUUAGCAAUUGACGUUAGCGACAGAAGAAGCACCGGCUAACUCCGUGCCAGCAGCCGCGGUAAUACGGAGGGUGCGAGCGUUAAUCGGAAUUACUGGGCGUAAAGGGCACGCAGGCGGUUAAUUAAGUUGGAUGUGAAAUCCCCGGGCUUAACCUGGGAAUGGCAUUCAAGACUGGUUAGCUAGAGUCUUGUAGAGGGGGUAGAAUUCCAUGUGUAGCGGUGAAAUGCGUAGAGAUGUGGAGGAAUACCGGUGCGAAGGCGGCCCCUGGGACAAAGACUGACGCUCAUGUGCGAAAGCGUGGGGAGCGAAAC
Molecule: ribosomal RNA, 440 nt
Filed under: uncultured bacterium
Lineage: Bacteria
Description: bacterial SSU rRNA
Rfam family: Bacterial small subunit ribosomal RNA
Source: RNAcentral